Molecule: ribosomal RNA, 350 nt
Filed under: uncultured bacterium
Lineage: Bacteria
Description: bacterial SSU rRNA
Rfam family: Bacterial small subunit ribosomal RNA
Source: RNAcentral
AACGAACGCUGGCGGCAUGCCUAACACAUGCAAGUCGAACGAAGCCUUCGGGCUUAGUGGCGCACGGGUGCGUAACGCGUGGGAAUCUGCCCUUAGGUACGGAAUAACUCAGGGAAACUUGUGCUAAUACCGUAUGAUGUCGAGAGACCAAAGAUUUAUCGCCUAGGGAUGAGCCCGCGUAGGAUUAGCUAGUUGGUGGGGUAAAGGCCUACCAAGGCGACGAUCCUUAGCUGGUCUGAGAGGAUGAUCAGCCACACUGGGACUGAGACACGGCCCAGACUCCUACGGGAGGCAGCAGUGGGGAAUAUUGGACAAUGGGCGAAAGCCUGACUCAGACUAAGUCGCCGCGU